RNAcentral lists this unclassified non-coding RNA (601 nucleotides) under Hevea brasiliensis (rubber tree). The record is from RNAcentral. Lineage: Eukaryota; Viridiplantae; Streptophyta; Magnoliopsida; Malpighiales; Euphorbiaceae.
CUUCAUCGCUCAUCUUUUGAUUUGGGCAUUUUUCUGAAUUUGAUAGUAAUCAUACAGAUAAGAAUGAAUUAUUUUGAUAAACAAGGACACAAUGACAUGUUGGAUAUACAUACAAAAAUGAACUAAUUAUAAAACUAAUUAGGGAUGCACAUUGACGAUGAAGCUACAGCUACAGUGUCCUGAUUAGGUGGAAAGCGGCAGCCAGCAAGAUUCUUUCUCUGCUAUGAGGUUUGCCUUUUGUUUUUCUGCACCCUGAAUCUCCCAAAUUAAGGAUGCUUUCACAUGAACACCCUUUGCCUUGAUUGAUCUCCAGGUGAACUUUGUAGCUACCAUAGAUGACUAUAAUUUGAUGUCUUCAACAUAUGUGCAGAAUAGGCUUCUUGCUCUUUUCUACCUCUAACUGCGAUCCAAACCACGCCACAAUCCGAACAGAUACCCGCCAACUGCACUAGAAGUUUAUGUGAUGAGAAUUGAGUUAAAUUGAGCAAGUAUAUAGAGAGAGAGACAGAGGAGAAGAAGAUAGUGCGGGACUCUGGUUUAUGGACGCUGGCCGGCUUCAGAGAAGAAAAAGCAGCAAACACAAGCGUUGGACCAAUUGUGG